This 72-nucleotide transfer RNA is filed under the name Prasinoderma coloniale. RNAcentral's name for it is "tRNA-Asn". It matches the Rfam family "tRNA". Rfam says of the family: Transfer RNA (tRNA) molecules are approximately 80 nucleotides in length. Lineage: Eukaryota; Viridiplantae; Prasinodermophyta; Prasinodermophyceae; Prasinodermales; Prasinodermaceae. The record is from RNAcentral.
UCCUCAGUAGCUCAGUGGUAGAGCAUCCGGCUGUUAACCGGAUGGUCGUAGGUUCAAAUCCUACCUGGGGAG